Molecule: unclassified non-coding RNA, 2084 nt
Filed under: Channa argus (northern snakehead)
Lineage: Eukaryota; Metazoa; Chordata; Actinopteri; Anabantiformes; Channidae
Description: partial contains 12S small subunit ribosomal RNA, tRNA-Val, and 16S large subunit ribosomal RNA
Rfam family: Bacterial large subunit ribosomal RNA (bases 677-2084)
Source: RNAcentral
GCUUAGCCUUAAACAUUGAUAGCACCCUACAUCAGCUAUUCGCCAGGGGACUACGAGCAUAAGCUUAAAACCCAAAGGACUUGGCGGUGCUUAAGAUCCACCUAGAGGAGCCUGUUCUAGAACCGAUAACCCCCGUUUAACCUCACCCUCCCUUGUUUAUCCCGCCUAUAUACCGCCGUCGUCAGCUUACCCUAUGAAGGUCUAAUAGUAAGCAAAAUUGGCACAGCCCAAAACGUCAGGUCGAGGUGUAGCGCAUGAGAGGGGAAGAAAUGGGCUACAUUCACUACCAUAGUGAAUACGAAUGAUGAACUGAAAUGUUCAUCCGAAGGAGGAUUUAGCAGUAAGCGGAGAAUAGAGUGCUCCACUGAAACCGGCCCUAAAGCGCGCACACACCGCCCGUCACCCUCCCCCAGCUUAACUUAAAUAAUAAAUAAUAACACAAACACUGUUAAGGGGAGGCAAGUCGUAACAUGGUAAGUGUACCGGAAGGUGCACUUGGAAAAAUCAGAGUGUAGCUAAGACAGAAAAGCAUCUCCCUUACACCGAGAAGUCAUCCGUGCAAACCGGAUCGCCCUGAACCAAACAGCUAGCCCCACCCCAUAAAACCAAAAAAUCACCAUAAAUAACCCCAAAUACACAACCCAAUACACCAACUAAAUCAUUUUUCCACCCUAGUACGGGAGACAGAAAAGGACACACGGAGCUAUAGAAAAAGUACCGCAAGGGAACGCUGAAAGAGUAAUGAAACAAUCCAGUAAAGUACAGAAAAGCAGAGAUUAACCCUCGUACCUUUUGCAUCAUGAUUUAGCCAGUAAGCCCAAGCAAAGAGCACUUUAGUUUGACCCCCCGAAACUAAGUGAGCUACUCCAAGACAGCCUAUUUUAGGGCCAACCCGUCUCUGUGGCAAAAGAGUGGGAAGAGCUUUGAGUAGAGGUGACAAACCUACCGAACUUAGUUAUAGCUGGUUGCCUAGAAAUUGAAUAUAAGUUCAGCCCCCUGCCUUCUUCAUUCACACAACUCCUAAUGCCCCCGGUUACCCGAGAAGACAGGGGAGUUAGUCAAACGGGGUACAGCCCAUUUGACCCAAGAUACAACUUUUUUAGGAGGGUAAAGAUCAUAUUACCAAAGGGAAAAUGUUUUAGUGGGCCUAAAAGCAGCCACCUAAACAGAAAGCGUUAAAGCUCAGACAUAUUAAUAACCCCUAUAAUCCGGACAACCCGCUCUUAACCCCCUACUUCCCACUAGGCUGUUUCAUGCAAACAUGAAAGCACCAAUGCUAAAAUGAGUAAUAAGAGAGCACCGACCUCUCUCCUAGCACGCACAUACAUCGGAACGGACCCCCCACCGAACAUUACCGGCCCCAAACAAAGAGGGCAAUGCACAACCAACAAACAACCAGAAAACCCCCCAAGAAACAACCGUUAAGCCCACACUGGCGUGCCCCCAAGGAAAGACUAAAAGAAAAAGAAGGAACUCGGCAAACACCCUAAGCCUCGCCUGUUUACCAAAAACAUCGCCUCUUGUAAUUUAAAAAUAAGAGGUCCCGCCUGCCCAGUGACACUAAGUUCAACGGCCGCGGUAUUUUGACCGUGCAAAGGUAGCGCAAUCACUUGUCUUUUAAAUGAAGACCCGUAUGAAUGGCAUAACGAGGGCUUAACUGUCUCCUUUUUCAAGUCAAUGAAAUUGAUCUCCCCGUGCAGAAGCGAGGAUAACAACAUAAGACGAGAAGACCCUAUGGAGCUUUAGACACCAGAGUAGCCCUUGUCAAACACCCCCAGUAAAAGGGCAAAACCAAAAGGACCCUACUCCCCUGUCUUUGGUUGGGGCGACCGCGGGGAAUACAAAACCCCCAUGUGGAAUGGGAGAACCCCUCCUGAAACCAAGAGCCACGGCUCUAAGCAAUAGAACAUCUAACCAAAAGAUCCGGCAUGACCGAUCAACGAACCGAGUUACCCUAGGGAUAACAGCGCAAUCCCCUUCUAGAGUCCAUAUCGACAAGGGGGUUUACGACCUCGAUGUUGGAUCAGGACAUCCUAAUGGUGCAGCCGCUAUUAAGGGUUCGUUUGUUCAACGAUUAAAGUCCU